Molecule: ribosomal RNA, 292 nt
Filed under: uncultured bacterium
Lineage: Bacteria
Description: partial 16S ribosomal RNA
Rfam family: Bacterial small subunit ribosomal RNA
Source: RNAcentral
GUGCCAGCAGCCGCGGUAAUACGUAGGUUGCGAGCGUUGUCCGGAUUUACUGGGCGUAAAGCGCGCGCAGGCGGAUUCGAAAGUCCACGGUGAAAGCUCCCGGCUCAACUGGGAGAGGCCCGUGGAAACUCCGGAUCUUGAAGGCAGGAGAGGCAAAUGGAAUUUCCGGUGUAGCGGUAAAAUGCGUAGAUACCGGAAGGAACACCAGUGGCGAAGGCGAUUUGCUGGCCUGUUCUUGACGCUCAGGCGCGAAAGCUAGGGGAGCGACCGGGAUUAGAUACCCUCGUAGUCC